Molecule: long non-coding RNA, 1566 nt
Organism: Marmota monax (woodchuck)
Lineage: Eukaryota; Metazoa; Chordata; Mammalia; Rodentia; Sciuridae
Exons: 2
Source: RefSeq, a predicted model, not a curated record
GCGGGGUUGACGGACACUCAGUCCAGACAGUGAGCUCAGGUCCUGGCCUUCAGCAAAAAUGUGUCUCGCUGGGUUUUGUAGCCUGGGAGCAGGGACAGCCCACCAUGUUCCUCACUCCUGUUCCACUAAAGACUCACUUGAUAAAUGAAGGAGACUCACAUUUUCUCUUUCAAAAGGGCAAGUCACGGUGAUGUUCAACCCCUUAAGGGAGCUGUAGCAAGCAGCCAGUUAGGGAGCCCAGGCCAUCAAGAUUUUGAGUCUCAUUAUGCUGCCUGCACGAUGAUAAACAUACCCAAGUGAGUGGUCUUCUUGAUUCCUGCCUGUGAUGUAGGCAGCGGUUUUGUAUCCCAUUUUUUAGAUGUGGAGACUGAGGUCUAAGGGGCACCUUGCCUGGGGUCAAACAGCUAGUGACUCCCACCAUCUCAAACUAAGUCCCGGCUCCGACUACUCCCAUGUUCCUUGCAGGUAGUCUCUGUUCAGGAUUGAAAAUCCAAAAUGAGAAGCCAAAAGUAAGGGAUGUACGAAGGUCCCCAAACUUCCCCAAACUAGAGUUGAUCUGAUUCAUUCCUGUGACUGGUCACCACUCCAGGACUCCACUUGGCUAGGAAUGCAUCUGUGGAGGCAAGUGCUCAGGAACUCAAAGGCCGCGGCCCGUGGCUUCGGAUCCUGGGAGCACUGUGACUGGCUCGGCCGUGUGCAGGUCGCCCUUGCAGUCAUCCUGUAGAUUGAGGACUCACUGUGGGGCAAGCUCUGGGACAGACAUUAGACAGACUAUGGAGGAUGAAGUAAGCCCCUGCCGCCAGGAGCUUCCCGUUUCAGACAGGAAGGUAAUUCACAGUUCGUCAUCCCAGCUGCAGGCGGUUGGAAGGCCAAGCGCAUGGCGAAGGUGUGACGCUGUGGGAGUGUGGCAGAGGGGACUUGUUGCCGAUUGAGGCUAAGACCUCAGCAGGCAGAGUGGAAGACAAGGGGAAGGUGGGAUGGAGAGGAACCUCACGCGCAGUGGCAAGGAUUCCAAAGCCACCUGGGGGCACCUCCUCUGGGGCGCGAUAGAUGCUCCUGUGGAGGUGUCCUCAACAUGCCCGGCCUGCAGCCUGAGCCUCAUGCCCAACCAGUACCAUCAUGCGGUCACAUGACAGCCUGUCAGCCAUGGAGACCAUCUGAUCAAGAAAAUGACAGGGUGAAGCUGUGCUUUGAGGAAACCCACCCAUUUGCACACCUGAAGGAAGGGGAAAUGGAGCAUUUAGAAGCCCCUGCAAUUGGUCUGCUGAGGGGGAAGACGUACUCUCAGGAGAUUGCAGGACACUGCUGACUUUUCUGUGUUCUCUGUCUUGUUGAUUUCAAGGAGUUUUCUAUAUUGAGGACAGUAGCUGUCUGUUAUAUAUGUCACAAAAUUUUCUGUCCUGUUGUCAUUUGUCUUGUUAAUAAAAAAAAGAAACCUGUAGGACCUCUCAAAUAUACAGGAGUUUUAGUUAUUGAUCCACUUUUAUUUAUUGCAUUUGGGACUGGAAACUUCUCAUAGAGUCCUUUUUUCCUAGUAGAAUAAAAGAAAGUCCUGUUUUUAACAUC